Non-coding RNA from Zea mays, 270 nucleotides. The record is from RefSeq and is marked provisional. Lineage: Eukaryota; Viridiplantae; Streptophyta; Magnoliopsida; Poales; Poaceae.
UGGCGAGGUGCGCGCGGUGGAGAAGCAGGGCACGUGCAUUCUUUCCGUCGCCGGCCGGCUUGGCAGCGGCCGGCGGCCCGGCUCUCGCAGUCACGCGUACGUCGCCUGAGCGGCGCGCGCGAGAGAGAGAGACACGGCAGGUCGUCGCCGGCGCGGCUAACUGGUGCAGGUGCAGCAGCUAGCUUCUGAAACCCAGCCAGCCAGCCAGCCGGCCGGCCGGCCGAUCGAUGCGUGCAUGUGCCCUUCUUCUCCAUCGGGCACGCCUCGCCU